UGAACGCUAGCGGCAGGCUUAAUACAUGCAAGUCGAGGGGCAGCACGGUAUAGCAAUAUAUGGGUGGCGACCGGCAAACGGGUGCGGAACACGUACACAACCUUCCGGUGAGCGGGGGAUAGCCCAGAGAAAUUUGGAUUAAUACCCCAUACUAUAAUGAUCAGGCAUCUGGUUAUUAUCAAAGGCUUCGGCCGCUUAUUGAUGGGUGUGCGUCUGAUUAGGUAGUUGGCGGGGUAGAGGCCCACCAAGCCUACGAUCAGUAGCUGAUGUGAGAGCAUGAUCAGCCACACGGGCACUGAGACACGGGCCCGACUCCUACGGGAGGCAGCAGUAAGGAAUAUUGGACAAUGGACGCAAGUCUGAUCCAGCCAUGCCGCGUGAAGGAUGAAUGCCCUCUGGGUUGUAAACUUCUUUUACAGGGGAAGAAAGUUAUCUUUUUUAGGAUAUUUGACGGUACCCUAUGAAUAAGCACCGGCUAACUCC
Molecule: ribosomal RNA, 483 nt
Filed under: uncultured bacterium
Lineage: Bacteria
Description: bacterial SSU rRNA
Rfam family: Bacterial small subunit ribosomal RNA
Source: RNAcentral